RNAcentral lists this ribosomal RNA (440 nucleotides) under uncultured bacterium. RNAcentral describes it as "partial 16S ribosomal RNA". It matches the Rfam family "Bacterial small subunit ribosomal RNA", at positions 338 to 795 of the family's 1533-position model. The record is from RNAcentral.
CCUACGGGUGGCAGCAGUAGGGAAUUUUGCGCAAUGGGCGAAAGCCUGAUGCAGCAACGCCGCGUGAGUGAGACGCCCUUCGGGGUGUAAAGAUCUGUCAGUGGGGGCGAAACGUGACGGUACCCACAGAGGAAGCACCGGCUAACUCCGUGCAAGCAGCCGCGGUAAUACGGGGGGUGCAAGCGUUGUCCGGAAUCAUUGGGCGUAAAGAGUUCGUAGGCGGCACGUAAAGUCUGGUGUUAAAGGCACAGGCUCAACCUCUGUACGGCACUGGAUACUUGCGAGCUAGAGUGCGGUAGAGGUAAGGGGAAUUCCUGGUGUAGCGGUGAAAUGCUUAGAUAUCAGGAGGAAUAUCGGUGGCGUAAGCGCUUUACUGGGCCGUAAUUGACGCUGAGGAACGAAAGCCAGGGUAGCAAAUGGGAUUAGAUACCCGUGUAGUC